This 252-nucleotide ribosomal RNA is filed under the name uncultured bacterium. Its description in RNAcentral is "partial 16S ribosomal RNA". It matches the Rfam family "Bacterial small subunit ribosomal RNA", at positions 524 to 776 of the family's 1533-position model. The record is from RNAcentral.
GACGUAGGGGGCCAGCGUUGCUCGGAAUUACUGGGUGUAAAGGGUUCGUAGGCGGUGUGGCAAGUCGGGAGUGAAAUCUCUGGGCUCAACCCAGAGUCUGCUUCCGAAACUGCUGUGCUUGAGUGUGGGAGAGGCGCGUGGAAUUGCAGGUGUAGCGGUGAAAUGCGUAGAUAUCUGCAGGAACACCCGUGGCGAAAGCGGCGCGCUGGACCACUACUGACGUGAGGAACGAAAGCUAGGGGAGCAAACAGG